This 476-nucleotide ribosomal RNA is filed under the name uncultured bacterium. RNAcentral's name for it is "bacterial SSU rRNA". It matches the Rfam family "Bacterial small subunit ribosomal RNA", at positions 915 to 1391 of the family's 1533-position model. The record is from RNAcentral.
GGGGGCCCGCAAGCGGUGGAGCAUGUGGUUUAAUUCGAUGCAACGCGAAGAACCUUACCUACUCUUGACAUCCAGAGAAUAUAGCAGAGAUGCCAUAGUGCCUUCGGGAGCUCUGAGACAGGUGCUGCAUGGCUCGUCGUCAGCUCGUGUUGUGAAAUAGUUGGGUUAAGUCCCGCAACGAGCGCAACCCUUAUCCUUUGUUGCCAGCGAUUAAGUCGGGAACUCAAAGGAGACUGCCAGUGAUAAACUGGAGGAAGGUGGGGAUGACGUCAAGUCAUCAUGGCCCUUACGAGUAGGGCUACACACGUGCUACAAUGGCGCAUACAAAGAGAAGCAAACUUGCGAAAGCUAGCAGACCUCAUAAAGUGCGUCGUAGUCCGGAUUGGAGUAUGCAACUCGACUCCAUGAAGUCGGAAUCGCUAGUAAUCGUGGAUCAGAACGCCACGGUGAAUACGUUCCCGGGCCUUGUACACACC